GCCUGUGAAGCCAAGAUCAAGUGCUGGAGGCCGGAGCCAUCUGUGAGCCUCCCUAAGCCACAGCAGUGAGGAGAUUUGUGUGCUGGGGCACUCAAAAGCCUCUACAAGAUCUUCGUUAAGAGUCAAGCUGCCGGUCAGGAGUCUGACAUUUGAAUCGUGUUGUGAUUUACAAAAAAAAAAAAAAAAAACCCUUCUGGUAGAUUUUAAUGAUGCCAUUUUUCCAAAGCCCCCACUGUAAGGUUUCAAAAGCACUGGUAGGCAUAGCAUAGAUGUUCCAGUUACACACUCAGUAAACACUGGUUAUCAGUCAUUGGAAAGGUUACCUGUGCAACCACCAGAUUCCAUUUCUACUUCUCUUCCCCAGAGGUCUCAGCAAUGAAUCGGGAAGACACGAAAGGUCUAAGACUAAAUAUCCAAAUUAUAAAUACUAAGGAAACUUUGUUUCCAGUUUGGCAAUGAUCCAGUCUAAAGUAGAACCUCAAUUUAAAAGAUUGAGGUUCAGAGCAUCAACACUCCAUACACCUCCCCAAGUCAGCCAUAGACUGUUUUUUUUUUCAGAAGUGAAACCAUAGUCCCUAUAUGCCUCUUUUUUCCCCCUCUUUUUUUUUCCAUCCUUAUAGAAUUCUCCCUGCUUUCAGGAAGAUACAAAGAAACCACAUGAACUAGACCAGCAUCUGUGAACAUUGUGCUAUGUUCCACCUUGUUUGAAAACUGUGAAACAGUGUGGCAUGCCAACAUCUCUAUAGUGAUUUUUACACGUGAUGUAUUCGGUGUAGCUGAGGUCACUUUGGAAGUCUGUGGCUGUUCCAUGUCCUAGGCAAGCCACUUGUUAACCCUGAGUGACAAUCUUUAUAAAUCAUUGUUAAUUCAGAGAUUUGUACGUGAGAAAACAACAACAAAAUUAGAGACUAUCUAGUUUCUGUAGGUUAUUUUUCCCAAUAAUGUUUCCAGAUCGAAUUUCCUCAUAGAGAAAAAAAAAAAGGUGUGCCUUGUGUCUGUGCUUCUCCGCUCUCUGAAAGGAUGGAUGGAUCUGAAGUUCUCAGCCCUCACCCCACACUGCUGGAAUCUUCUGUAGAGCUGCCUGCCAAGCCACCUGAAACACAGUGGCUCCCUGUGACACUCAGGCCUCAGAUGAGCCUCGCUUGCCUUCACUGCUUCUGUUUUAAACAGUAGUAAAAAACUGGCGUUCAAGGCAGAGUCCACAGGUGCUUAAAGGACACUUUCAGAAGAAGCUGAAGGCCUUGAGGUCUGCCCACCCAGCUGAUCUCGGAGUCCUGGCCCCAGUCCAUGUGUAGCUCUAAGAACAUGAAGUAGCUGGUUGCAAGAUGGACCAACUCACCAAGUGUCAGCCCAGGUAGUGAGAAACUUGCAGUAGACAUGGAGCUGGGCUCUUUUAAAUUUGUUUUGUGAAGUUUCAGCCUCUUAAUGCUUUUGUAUAGGAAUACUCACUGUGUGGUUUAAUCAUGAUUU
Molecule: long non-coding RNA, 1470 nt
Filed under: Mus musculus (house mouse)
Lineage: Eukaryota; Metazoa; Chordata; Mammalia; Rodentia; Muridae
Description: long non-coding RNA chr13:54106595-54108065
Source: RNAcentral